Molecule: ribosomal RNA, 305 nt
Filed under: uncultured bacterium
Lineage: Bacteria
Description: partial 16S ribosomal RNA
Rfam family: Bacterial small subunit ribosomal RNA
Source: RNAcentral
ACAGCAGCAGCCGCGGGAAUACGAAGGGGGCUAGCGUUGUUCGGAAUUACUGGGCGUAAAGCGCACGUAGGCGGAUAUUUAAGUCAGGGGUGAAAUCCCAGAGCUCAACUCUGGAACUGCCUUUGAUACUGGGUAUCCUGAGUAUGGAAGAGGUGAGUGGAAUUCCGAGUGUAGAGGUGAAAUUCGUAGAUAUUCGGAGGAACACCAGUGGCGAAGGCGGCUCACUGGUCCAUUACUGACGCUGAGGUGCGAAAGCGUGGGGAGCAAACAGGAUUAGAUACCCCAGUAGUCCCUGUCUCUUAUAC